Molecule: ribosomal RNA, 692 nt
Filed under: Halococcus morrhuae
Lineage: Archaea; Methanobacteriati; Methanobacteriota; Halobacteria; Halobacteriales; Halococcaceae
Description: bacterial SSU rRNA
Rfam family: Archaeal small subunit ribosomal RNA
Source: RNAcentral
AUUUAGGGGGNCCCCCUUAGAAUACUCAANCUAUGCAUCCAACGCGUUGGGAGCUCUCCCAUAUGGUCGACCUGCAGGCGGCCGCACUAGUGAUUACGGGGAGCAGCAGGCGCGAAACCUUUACACUGCACGACAGUGCGAUAAGGGGAUCCCGAGUGCGAGGGCAUACAGUCCUCGCUUUUCGUGACCGUAAGAAGGUCUCAGAAUAAGAGCUGGGCAAGACCGGUGCCAGCCGCCGCGGUAAUACCGGCAGCUCGAGUGAUAGCCACUAUUAUUGGGCCUAAAGCGUCCGUAGCCGGCCGAACAGGUCCGUCGGGAAAUCCACCCGCUCAACGGGUGGGCGUCCGGCGGAAACCAGGUAGCUUGGGGCCGGAAGACCAGAGGGGUACGUCCGGGGUAGGAGUGAAAUCCCGUAAUCCUGGACGGACCACCGGUUGCGAAAGCGCCUCUGGAGAACGGACCCGACGGUGAGGGACGAAAGCUAGGGUCUCGAACCGGAUUAGAUACCCGGGUAGUCCUAGCUGUAAACGAUGCUCGCUAGGUGCGACGCAGGCCACGAGCCUGCGUUGUGCCGUAGGGAAGCCGAGAAGCGAGCCGCCUGGGAAGUACGUCCGCAAGGAUGAAACUUAAAGGAAUUGGCGGGGGAGCACAAUCCCGCGGCCAUGGCGGCCGGGAGCAUGCGACGUCGGCCC